AGCGAACGCUGGCGGCAGGCUUAACACAUGCAAGUCGAGCGGGCACUUUCGGGUGUCAGCGGCGGACGGGUGAGUAACGCGUGGGAACGUGCCCUCUGGUUCGGAAUAACUCAAGGAAACUUGAGCUAAUACCGGAUACGCCCUUUUGGGGAAAGGCUUGCUGCCGGAGGAUCGGCCCGCGUCUGAUUAGCUAGUUGGUGAGGUAACGGCUCACCAAGGCGACGAUCAGUAGCUGGUCUGAGAGGAUGAUCAGCCACACUGGGACUGAGACACGGCCCAGACUCCUACGGGAGGCAGCAGUGGGGAAUAUUGGACAAUGGGCGCAAGCCUGAUCCAGCCAUGCCGCGUGAGUGAUGAAGGCCUUAGGGUUGUAAAGCUCUUUUAUCCGGGACGAUAAUGACGGUACCGGAGGAAUAAGCCCCGGCUAACUUCGUG
RNAcentral lists this ribosomal RNA (435 nucleotides) under uncultured bacterium. RNAcentral's name for it is "partial 16S ribosomal RNA". It matches the Rfam family "Bacterial small subunit ribosomal RNA", at positions 29 to 507 of the family's 1533-position model. The record is from RNAcentral.